GCAAACGAAUGAUACGUUGGAAUUAGAAAAACCGAACACACUCACCAUAAUCCAGAGAGCUUCAUCAUCGUCUCCACUCCACUCUCCAUUCUCCACUGUUCCAUGAAAUGUUGAAUACUCAUUCUUCCUUCACCUUUCAACCUUUAACAGACCAAUUCCCUUCACCCUUCACCUUCUUCCCAUCUCACUUCCACCCCACACUCAUCUCCCGUCCUCCUAAAUCCUCCCGCUUCCUCCUUCGCUGCUGCUCCAUCGAUUCCGAAACCCUCCCAAAAUCCGCCAUCCAAAGGAUCGCCGACAAGCUUCGAAGCCUCGGCUUCACAGAAUCACCCCCCGAACCCCUACCCGACCCUAAUUCUCCCUCUGCUCCUGGUGCAAUCUUUGUUCCUCUGCCGAAUCAGCUGCCCAAGUAUCGGGUUGGCCAUACCAUUGAUUCGAGCUGGAGCAUGCCGGAGAAUCCGGUUCCGGAACCGGGAACGGGGACUGCGAUUAAGAGGUUUCAUGAAUUGAGAGGUGAGGUGCAAAAAUGGAAGAAGAGGGACGGGGUUAGGGAGAAGAAGAGGGAGGAGAGAGCGCCGAGUUUGGCGGAGUUGAGCUUGACUGAGGAGGAGUUGGGGAGGCUUAGGACAAUUGGGAUUAGGUUGAAGAAGAAGCUUAAUGUUGGAAAGGCUGGGAUUACGGAGGGGAUUGUUAACACUAUACACGAGUAUUGGAGGCGGUCUGAGGUUGUGAAGAUAGCGUGUGAAGAUUUGUGUAGGCUUAACAUGAAGCGGACCCAUGAUUUAUUGGAGAGGAAAACUGGAGGAAUUGUUGUUUGGAGAUCUGGAAGUAAAAUAAUAUUAUAUCGGGGGCCCAAUUACAUAUAUCCUUACUUCUCUCAUGAAAUUUUGGAAGACGAAGGAUCUCAAGAUGCUUUACCUGCUUCACAUAGUGAUGAUGGAGGGAAUAGCGAAACAGAGAGUACUUUGUCCUGCAUCAAUGAUGAAAGAUCUGCUGGGCCAACUUCAUCUGUUAAAAUGCCCAGUCCGACUCUCAUUCAAGGUGUUGGUGCUCCAAACAGAGUGAGGUUUCAGCUGCCAGGCGAGGCAGAAUUAGCAGAAGAUGCUGAGAGUUUGUUGGAAGGACUAGGUCCACGUUUUUCAGAUUGGUGGGGAUAUGAUCCUCUACCUGUUGAUGCGGAUCUCCUUCCUGCCAUUGUUCCGGGAUAUCGUAAACCAUUCCGUCUUCUCCCAUAUGGAGUGAAGCCUAAGCUAACCAACGAUGAAAUGACCUCAUUGAGAAGACUUGCUAGGCCUUUGCCAUGCCAUUUUGCAUUGGGUCGUAAUAGGAAACUUCAAGGGCUUGCUGCUUCCAUUAUCCAGCUGUGGGAAAAAUGCGAGAUAGCUAAAAUUGCAGUUAAAAGAGGGGUGCAGAAUACAAAUAAUAAGUUGAUGGCUGAAGAGUUACAGUUGCUAACUGGAGGAACUUUGCUUUCCCGAGACAGGGAAUUCAUCGUCUUAUAUAGAGGAAAGGAUUUCCUGCCAUUUGCCGUUUCUUCUGCAAUGGAACAGAAAAGGCACAUGCGAUUACAUGAAAUGAAACAGACAGAUAAUUCACCAGCUACAACGGGGCAGGGGCUGAAACUUGAGAUAAAUGAAAAUGGUCCCACAAAUGAAAGUCAGAGCAUCACGGGGUGGAAAAAGAUUGUCUCUGAACGGAGAAAGCUGAUGUCAUCUGAGACCUCUAUGAGAAAGACUAGCAUCAAGUUGUCCAUUGCAUUAGAAAAAAAAGCGAAAGCAGAGGAAUUUUUAGCAAAGCUGGAGGAAGAAGAGAAGCUCCAACAACCUGAAAUAGAUAAAGAGGGAAUAACUGUGGAGGAAAGGUACAUGCUGAAGAAGGUUGGCUUAAGAAUGAAGCCUUUUCUACUUCUUGGUAGAAGAGGCGUUUUUGACGGAACAGUUGAAAAUAUGCAUCUUCACUGGAAAUAUAGGGAACUCGUGAAGAUAAUUACUAAUGAGAGAAGUUUCAAAACUGUUCAUGAUGUUGCACGAACCUUAGAGGCAGAAAGUGGUGGAAUUUUAGUAGCAGUUGAGAGAGUGAAAAGGAGUUUUGCUAUCAUUAUAUUCCGUGGGAAGAAUUACAAACGACCUUCACGUUUAAGGCCCGAGUCACUCUUGAAUAAAAAGGAGGCAUUGAAGAGAUCUAUAGAGGCACAACGUCGAAAGUCACUGAAACUUCAUGUUUUAAAGCUUACACAAAACGUAGAAGAAUUGAAACUAAAAUUGGAUGAAGACAAGCGAGCAAUUGGUAUGGAGUCGAUAAAGACAUCAACGUUUCAGCAGGGAAAAGAAGGGAUAGACGAGAUACAAACAACUGGAAGUUUGAAAUUAGUUGCUGAUUCUGCCUGCCUCACUCAUGCAGAAAAUAGUACUUGUUUGGAGGAGAAUGAAGUGGCCAAGGUCAAAAAGGGUCAUGGAACUCAUUCGAGUGGAACCAUCUGUUUGGACACUUCAGUGAAUCGUUUACAAACCACGAAUGAUGUCUUUUUAAUACACAAUGGUGAUCAGAGUAAUGCCACAGUCAGACCUUCGUUUGAAUCAGUAAGGCAAGGAAACCAUGCAAAGGUGCCCAUGGAUACCAAUGCUGAAUUUGGAACUAUCGAACCUCAAUCUGGCGCUAAUUCUUUGUCAGGAGAGAGUAAUUCUGGAACUUCAGAUGCCGUGCAUCAUGUUGCUAUGAACAAGGACACAAAACCAUCUGUUCGACUAGAAGAGGAAAAAUCGCCACCAUUACUUUCCUCAACAAGGAUAAACCAACCUGGUUAUUUUCCUGCCAAUGUUCCUCAACUUUCCAACAAAGAGAGGCUUCUUCUGCGACGGCAAGCCCUCAAGAUGAAGAAACUUCCUGUGCUUUCUGUAGGCAAGAGCAACGUAAUUACAGGAGUUGCAAAAGCAAUCAAGGAACAUUUUAAGAAACAUUCUCUUGCUAUAGUUAAUGUCAAAGGUAGAGCCAAAGGAACAUCGGUCCAGGAGAUUGUUUUUAAGCUUGAGCAAGCAACUGGUGCAGUCCUAGUCUCUCAGGAGCCAAGCAAAGUUAUUCUUUAUAGGGGUUGGGAGGAAGAAGAUAGGAAACAGAAAGCUACCAUGAUGAAGAACAGUGGUGAAGAUCGACUAUCUAUGAGCUCUGAACUUAUGGCAGCUAUUAGGAUUGAGUGUGGACUACGGUGAACAGGAAAGUAAUCAGCUCCUCCAUGUGAAAUUGUAGCUUGUGUCUCAGCUGUUACUUGAAGAAUUUCUAAAUGUUCAACCUCUAUCUCAACCUCUAUCUCCAGAAAUCAAUUGGAAUUUCUUGGCUCGGUGUUUGUCAUUCGUAAAUGGAUUGUUUUGCCGCUUGUCAGCUAGCAGGCUUCAUAGAAUUCAGGCUUUGGGAUGUCACGAAAUAAGAGUUUUAUAAUAUGCAUAUGAAACACAACAGAGGACACAUUCAACAAAUUUUGAGGUAGUUUCAUCAAUUUUGAUUGAGAUUCUUCAUCUACACGAGCUCAUAUUGAUAAAAUUGUCGAGAUUCAUCAAACAAAACCAUCUAAAAUUUAGUUCAAAGUAAAUUAUUUUUACAUGAACAUGACUUCUUGAAAUUUAGGUGUGUAAAAAUCAAUCAAAUCUCUUUUAACUUUGGAAGCAAA
Molecule: RNA transcript, 3661 nt
Organism: Cucumis sativus (cucumber)
Lineage: Eukaryota; Viridiplantae; Streptophyta; Magnoliopsida; Cucurbitales; Cucurbitaceae
Gene name: CRM-domain containing factor CFM2, chloroplastic
Exons: 15
Source: RefSeq, a predicted model, not a curated record